CCUACGGGAGGCAGCAGUGAGGAAUAUUGGUCAAUGGGCUUAAGCCUGAACCAGCCAAGUCGCGUGAGGGAAGACUGCCCUCUGGGUUGUAAACCUCUUUUGUCAGGGAGCAACGCCGGCUACGUGUAGCCGGACGGAGAGUACCUGAAGAAAAGGCAUCGGAAAACUCCGUGCCAGCAGCCGGGGUAAUACGGAGGAUGCGAGCGUUAUCCGGAUUUAUUGGGUUUAAAGGGUGCGUAGGCGGAAUGCCAAGUCAGCGGUAAAAUCGCGGGGCUAAACCUCGCUCCGCCGUUGAAACUGGCGGUCUUGAGUGGGCGAGAGGUAUGCGGAAUGCGUGGUGUAGCGGUGAAAUGCAUAGAUAUCACGCAGAACUCCGAUUGCGAAGGCAGCAUACCGGCGCCCAACUGACGCUGAAGCACGAAAGCGUGGGUAUCGAACAGGAUUAGAUACCCUUGUAGUC
This 460-nucleotide ribosomal RNA is filed under the name uncultured bacterium. Its description in RNAcentral is "partial 16S ribosomal RNA". It matches the Rfam family "Bacterial small subunit ribosomal RNA", at positions 338 to 795 of the family's 1533-position model. The record is from RNAcentral.